UAAAAUAUUUCAACUUGAUAAUGAUGCAAGUUCGUAACCUGCUAAGAGUUACGCCUUGGUCUUCCAGGAACAACAAACAAACCAUCCAUACUAGGAAUCUAAAUGUUCUCCUUACUACAAAAUAAAAUCACAUCAUGAAGAAGAGACGUCCAACCUUCAUCUCUUAGACCUUGUAAUCUGAGUUUAGAUAUACUAACAAGUUGAAUAGCAUUAACUAUGUCUUGAUCUUUUCUUUGUAAUGCUACUGACAAUUCAUUUGUUACCGACAAUACCAUAGUCAUUAACUUCAACAUAAAGGCAAAACUGAAUAAGUGAAGCCUCAAGAACAAAUCAUAUGCAUCAACAUACUACUUCAUUAGUUCCUCCAUAUAGCAUAUCAUCUAAAACUUCAAUCACACUAAAGAGUAUACUGCCCAAAUUGAUCAAAGUCCCAAAAUGAGAACCCGAACGAGUAUUGCAAUGUCUUUUUAAACCCAAUUCUUGAUUCAGCCAUCUUCCAGUCUCUAACUCACCACUAGCUUGAGUAGCAGCAACUUUGGUAGCUUGACGUUUUUU
RNAcentral lists this long non-coding RNA (555 nucleotides) under Linum usitatissimum (flax). Its description in RNAcentral is "long non-coding RNA (LUSI_LNC002539)". Lineage: Eukaryota; Viridiplantae; Streptophyta; Magnoliopsida; Malpighiales; Linaceae. The record is from RNAcentral.